CCGCCGAUGGCGUCCCGGCUUGCCGGGCGUACAGGUAAGGGUGAAACGGUGCGGUAAGAGCGCACCGCAGUGCUGGUGACAGCACUGGCAGGGUAAACCCCACCGGGAGCAAGACCAAGCAGGGCGGAUUCGACUUCGGUCGAGACGGUGCGGUUCGUACCGUGAGCGUCAUCUCUUUCGGGAGAUUUCGUUCGCACGUCCGGGUAGGUUGCGACGAGGCGUUUGGGUAACCAGCGUCCCAGAGAAAUGAUCGUCCCCGACAGAACCCGGCUUAUCGGCCCGCUCCGCUG
Molecule: RNase P RNA, 290 nt
Filed under: Planctomycetaceae bacterium
Lineage: Bacteria; Pseudomonadati; Planctomycetota; Planctomycetia; Planctomycetales; Planctomycetaceae
Description: partial RNase P RNA component class A
Rfam family: Bacterial RNase P class A
About the family: Ribonuclease P (RNase P) is a ubiquitous endoribonuclease, found in archaea, bacteria and eukarya as well as chloroplasts and mitochondria. Its best characterised activity is the generation of mature 5'-ends of tRNAs by cleaving the 5'-leader elements of precursor-tRNAs. Cellular RNase Ps are ribonucleoproteins.
Source: RNAcentral